This 502-nucleotide ribosomal RNA is filed under the name uncultured bacterium. RNAcentral's name for it is "partial 16S ribosomal RNA". It matches the Rfam family "Bacterial small subunit ribosomal RNA", at positions 28 to 507 of the family's 1533-position model. The record is from RNAcentral.
GAUUAACGCUGGCGGCGUGCCUAACACAUGCAAGUCGAGCGGCAGCGAGUUUUACACUGAAUUCUGGAAGCUUCUAGUUGAAAGAGAAGAUUUAUUCAAGAAUUUUGUGUAAAAUGUCGGCGAGCGGCGGACGGCUGAGUAACGCGUGGGAACGUACCCCAAAGUGAGGGAUAACGCAUCGAAAGGUGUGCUAAUACCGCAUAUGGUCUUCGGAUUAAAGCCUUCGGGCGCUUUGGGAACGGCCUGCGUAAGAUUAGAUAGUUGGUGGGGUAAUGGCCUACCAAGUCGACGAUCUUUAACUGGUUUGAGAGGAUGAUCAGUCAGACUGGAACUGAGACACGGUCCAGACUCCUACGGGAGGCAGCAGUGAGGAAUCUUCCACAAUGGGCGAAAGCCUGAUGGAGCAACGCCGCGUGCAGGAUGAAGGCCUUCGGGUUGUAAACUGCUUUUAUAAGUGAGGAUUAUGACAGUAACUUAUGAAUAAGGAUCGGCUAACUACGCG